UACGGAGGAUGCAAGCGUUAUCCGGAAUGAUUGGGCGUAAAGCGUCCGCAGGUGGCUGUGUAAGUCUGCUGUUAAAGAGUGAGGCUCAACCUCAUAAAGGCAGUGGAAACUACAUGGCUAGAGUGCGUUCGGGGCAGAGGGAAUUCCUGGUGUAGCGGUGAAAUGCGUAGAGAUCAGGAAGAACACCAGUGGCGAAGGCGCUCUGCUAGGCCGUAACUGACACUGAGGGACGAAAGCUAGGGGAGCGAAUGGG
This 253-nucleotide ribosomal RNA is filed under the name uncultured bacterium. Its description in RNAcentral is "partial 16S ribosomal RNA". It matches the Rfam family "Bacterial small subunit ribosomal RNA", at positions 524 to 776 of the family's 1533-position model. The record is from RNAcentral.